Molecule: ribosomal RNA, 439 nt
Filed under: uncultured bacterium
Lineage: Bacteria
Description: partial 16S ribosomal RNA
Rfam family: Bacterial small subunit ribosomal RNA
Source: RNAcentral
CCUACGGGAGGCUGCAGUGGGGAAUAUUGCACAAUGGGGGAAACCCUGAUGCAGCGACGCCGCGUGAGUGAAGAAGUAUUUCGGUAUGUAAAGCUCUAUCAGCAGGGAAGAAAAUGACGGUACCUGAUUAAGAAGCCCCGGCUAACUACGGGCCAGCAGCCGCGGUAAUACGGAGGAUGCGAGCGUUAUCCGGAUUUAUUGGGUUAAAAGGGUGCGCAGGCGGUUUGUUAAGUAAGCGGUCAAAGCCCGGGGCUCAACCCCGGCCCGCCGUUGAAACUGGCAGUCUCGAGUUGGAGAGAAGUAUGCGGAAUGCGCGGUGUAGCGGUGAAAUGCAUAGAUAUCGCGCAGAACUCCGAUUGCGAAGGCAGCAUGCCGGCUCCACACUGACGCUGAGGCACGAAAGCGUGGGUAUCGAACAGGAUUAGAUACCCCGGUAGUC